UACGUAGGCAGCGAGCGUUGUUCGGAAUUACUGGGCGUAAAGCGUGCGUAGACGGCUAUCUAAGUCGGGUGUGAAAGCCCCGGGCUCAACCUGGGAAUUGCAUUCGAGACUGAAUAGCUAGGGUGCGGUAGAGGGAAGCGGAAUUUCCGGUGUAGCGGUGAAAUGCGUAGAUAUCGGAAGGAACAUCAGUGGCGAAAGCGGCUUCCUGGACCAGCACCGACGUUCAGGCACGAAAGCGUGGGGAGCAAACAGG
This 253-nucleotide ribosomal RNA is filed under the name uncultured bacterium. RNAcentral's name for it is "partial 16S ribosomal RNA". It matches the Rfam family "Bacterial small subunit ribosomal RNA", at positions 524 to 776 of the family's 1533-position model. The record is from RNAcentral.